GCUGGAGUAUGGAGUAGUAAAUGGUAUCCAGAAAGGCAGGUCUACAGUGGCAUAUGGGAUUUCCUGGUACUUCUUUAAUAGAAACUAUCUUCACAGAUCAUGACAUCAGGUCAGCUGCAGUUCUCACUGGGACCAAUAAACAAUAGAAGCAACAACCAUAAAGACUUAAGAGGACAAAGGAAACCAAACCUCACUGUGUGUCUUCAAGAUCUGUUCACAUAGUUGCAGGAAGUUGCUGUAGACAAAGUACAUUACUAAAGAAUGAAGCCCACCCAGGACAUCACAGCAACGAAAGAACUAUUUCUGGUAACCGUGGACCAGGUGAGAGCUACACUGUAGAACAGCAGUGCUGCCCUCUCUUCUUUGGCGAAUGUUAUGAAGACAUUCUUAUGCACUUAGGAUCAUGAUUCAUGUUAAAUGUAAAUCAAUCAUAAAAAUAAUACAUCUUGCUCCAAAAUGUGGUGACAAUUUAGAAGCUGUCUACAUAGCCAGACCACUCUGUAAAUCACAGAACCUAGAAAGUAAAAAUGUGCCAUAAUUAGGACAGCAGAAAUUAACAGUAAAAUAAAGUUUAAA
RNAcentral lists this small RNA (576 nucleotides) under Pan troglodytes (chimpanzee). Its description in RNAcentral is "processed transcript". Lineage: Eukaryota; Metazoa; Chordata; Mammalia; Primates; Hominidae. The record is from RNAcentral.